GAGGCAGCAGUGGGGAAUUUUGGACAAUGGGCGCAAGCCUGAUCCAGCAAUGCCGCGUGCAGGAUGAAGGCCUUCGGGUUGUAAACUGCUUUUGUACGGAACGAAAAGGCUCUCUCUAAUACAGAGAGCCGAUGACGGUACCGUAAGAAUAAGCACCGGCUAACUACGUGCCAGCAGCCGCGGUA
Molecule: ribosomal RNA, 185 nt
Filed under: Curvibacter delicatus
Lineage: Bacteria; Pseudomonadati; Pseudomonadota; Betaproteobacteria; Burkholderiales; Comamonadaceae
Description: partial 16S rRNA
Rfam family: Bacterial small subunit ribosomal RNA
Source: RNAcentral